CGAACCAGGCCGUGCGUGCAUGAAACCGAACCCAGAACCUAGCCGACCCACGACCAAAACCCAUCAAGAUCGAGACCCACCGAACCUGCUGGAACCCGGAUGACCAGUAAACCAGAACCGGUUCUGCCAUGGCAGCCAUGACCCACGACACCAACUGCAACCCCGGUGAACUCGCACCCAGCAGACCCGUGUUCACCUUGGGCUGAUCUAAGCCACCCCGAUCCAGCAAGAUUUCCGGCAGCUGAUGCUUCCAAAUGGGAUUGGCCCCCUCCUAUGCAAUACCCACCACUCGAACACUAUGAUGAACUGAAAAACGGUACAAAAGAACUGUGAGUAUUCCUUACUCACUCAGAAUGAUCAAGUGGAGCUUUCCAUAAUGUUUUGAUAUCUGUUUUAUUUAAUAGUAUGCAACUUGUUUGGAGCAUAUUGGUUGUAAUAUGACAUGUUUUAGUAUUAAGGCAUAGAGACAGAUAGGAAGCCCUGAGAGGGAUAGACAACCCAGUUGGUGGGUUUGAAGCUCUGAGGGAUAGACAUUCUUAGAUUUAGGAGCGAUAGACAUCCUCGGCUUUGAAGCUCUGAGAGAGAUAGACAACCCAGUUGGUGGGUUUGAGGCUCUGAGAGAGAUAGACAUCCAUGGAUAUAGGAAAGAUACACAUCCUCGGUUUUGAAGCUCUGAGAGAGAUAGACAACCCAGUUGGUGGGUUUGAGGCUCUGAGAGAGAUAGACAUCCAUGGAAUUUUGUGGGAUUUGAGGCCCUGUGAGAGAUAGACAAUCCUAGUAUGUGGGUUUGGUACUCUGAGAGGGAUAGACAACCCAGGACUGAGGCCUUAAGAAAGGACCCUCAGUGAAAAGCCCGUAGAAAGAAUAGAGAUUUCGGAGUUUGAGUCAUUGGCAUAAGUGUUUAUAAUUGUUCUCAUAUUGUUGCACUACACAUUGUUGCAUCGCAUACUUUUAAUUAAAUCAGUAAUCUUAUCAUUAUUGAAAGCAGUUGACUGACCCAUGUAUUUAUAUAUGGGCGGUAUAGCCCAUGUUGCAGGUACGAAAGUGUAUAAAGCUCAAGGAUAGGAGUUUGUUAACAUUACAGGAAUUAGAACUGUUCGAUAAUGUAGUUGAUGAUUGUAGUGAAUUCUUGUAUCAAUUUGAAAUGUAAUACUUUAAUUACGUUUAUCACUCAAUAAAGCUUUGAUGUGUUAUUUAA
Molecule: long non-coding RNA, 1198 nt
Organism: Alnus glutinosa
Lineage: Eukaryota; Viridiplantae; Streptophyta; Magnoliopsida; Fagales; Betulaceae
Exons: 2
Source: RefSeq, a predicted model, not a curated record